Macaca mulatta (Rhesus monkey) is the source of this 3733-nucleotide long non-coding RNA. Lineage: Eukaryota; Metazoa; Chordata; Mammalia; Primates; Cercopithecidae. The record is from Ensembl.
UUUUUUUUUUUUUUGAGAUGGAAUCUCUCUGUGUCACCCAGGCUGCAGUGCAGUAGUGGGAUCUCGGCUCACUGCAACCUUCAUCUCCUGGGUUCAAGCGAUUCUCCUGCCUCAGCCUCCUGAAUGGCUGGGAUUACAGGCAUAUGCCACUAUGCUUUGCUUUUUUUUUUUUUUUUUUUUUUUUAAAGCAGAGACAGGGUUUUGCCAUGUUGGCCAGGCUUGUCUCGAAAUCCUGACCUCAGGUGAUCCACCGGCCUUGGCCUCCCAAAGUGCUGGGUUUACAGGCAUGAGCCACUGCGCCCAGCCUGAAAUAUAUUUUAUUUUAUUUUAUUUUUAUUUUAAUUUUUUAUUAUUAUUAUACUUUAAGUUCUAGGGUUCAUGUGCAAAACGUACAGGUUUGUUACAUAUGUAUACUUGUGCCAUGUUGCUGUGCUGCACCCAUCAACUCGUCAGCACCCAUCAACUCGUCAUUUACAUCAGGUAUAACUCCCAGUGCAAUCCCUCCCCCCUCCCGCCUCCCUAUGAUAGGCCCCGGUGUGUGAUGUUCCCCUUCGUGAGUCCAAGUGAUCUCAUUGUUCAGUUCCCACCUAUGAGUGAGAACAUGCGGUGUUUGGUUUUCUGUUCUUGUGAUAGUUUGCUAAGAAUGAUGGUUUCCAGCUGCAUCCAUGUCUCUACAAAGGACACAAACUCAUCCUUUUUUAUGGCUGCAUAGUAUUCCAUGGUGUAUAUGUGCCACAUUUUCUUAAUCCAAUCUGUCACUGAUGGACAUUUGGGUUGAUUCCAAGUCUUUGCAAUUGUGAAUAGUGCUGUAAUAAACAUACGUGUGCAUGUGUCUUUAUAGCAGCAUAAUUUAUAAUCCUUUGGGUAUAUACCCAGUAAUGGGAUGGCUGGGUCAUAUGGUACAUCUAGUUCUAGAUCCUUGAGGAAUCGCCAUACUGUUUUCCAUAAUGGUUGAACUAGUUCACAAUCCCACCAACAGUGUAAAAGUGUUCCUAUUUCUCCACAUCCUCUCCAGCACCUGUUGUUUCCUGACUUUUGAAUGAUUGCCAUUCUAACUGGUGUGAGAUGGUAUCUCAUUGUGGUUUUGAUUUGCAUUUCUCUGAUGGCCAGUGAUGAUGAGCAUUUUUUCAUGUGUCCGUUGGCUGUAUGAAUGUCUUCUUUUGAGAAAUGUCUGUUCAUAUCCUUUGCCCACUUUUUGAUGGGGUUGUUUGUUUUUUUCUUGUAAAUUUGUUUGAGUUCUUUGUAGGUUCUGGAUAUUAGCCCUUUGUCAGAUGAGUAGAUUGCAAAAAUUUUCUCCCAUUCUGUAGGUUGCCUGUUCACUCUGAUGGUAGUUUCUUUUGCUGUGCAGAAGCUCUUUAGUUUAAUGAGAUCCCAUUUGUCAAUUUUGGCUUUUGCUGCUGUUGCUUUUGGUGUUUUAGACAUGAAAUCUUUGCCCAUGUCUAUGUCCUGAAUGGUACUACCUAGGUUUUCCUCUAGGAUUUUUAUGGUAUUAGGUCUAACAUUUAAGUCUCUAAUCCAUCUUGAAUUAAUUUUCGUAUAAGGAGUAAGGAAAGGAUCCAGUUUCAGCUUUCUACUUAUGGCUAGCCAAUUUUCCCAGCACCAUUUAUUAAAUAGGGAAUCCUUUCCCCAUUUCUUGUUUCUCUCAGGUUUGUCAAAGAUCAGAUGGCUGUAGAUGUGUGGUAUUAUUUCUGAGGACUCUGUUCUGUUCCAUUGGUCUAUAUCUCUGUUUUGGUACCAGUACCAUGCUGUUUUGGUUACUGUAGCCUUGUAGUAUAGUUUGAAGUCAGGUAGCGUGAUGCCUCCAGCUUUGUUCUUUUGACUUAGGAUUGUCUUGGAGAUGCGGGCUCUUUUUUGGUUCCAUAUGAACUUUAAAGCAGUUUUUUCCAAUUCUGUGAAGAAACUCAUUGGUAGCUUGAUGGGGAUGGCAUUGAAUCUAUAAAUUACCUUGGGCAGUAUGGCCAUUUUCAUGAUAUUGAUUCUUCCUAUCCAUGAGCAUGGUACGUUCUUCCAUUUGUUUGUGUCCUCUUUUAUUUCACUGAGCAGUGGUUUGUAGUUCUCCUUGAAGAGGUCCUUUACAUCCCUUGUAAGUUGGAUUCCUAGGUAUUUUAUUCUCUUUGAAGCAAUUGUGAAUGGAAGUUCAUUCCUGAUUUGGCUCUCUGUUUGUCUGUUACUGGUGUAUAAGAAUGCUUGUGAUUUUUGCACAUUAAUUUUGUAUCCUGAGACUUUGCUGAAGUUGCUUAUCAGCUUAAGGAGAUUUUGGGCUGAGACAAUGGGGUUUUCUAAAUAUACAAUCAUGUCAUCUGCAAACAGGGACAAUUUGACUUCUUCUUUUCCUAACUGAAUACCCUUGAUUUCUUUCUCUUGCCUAAUUGCCCUAGCCAGAACUUCCAACACUAUGUUGAAUAGGAGUGGUGAGAGAGGGCAUCCCUGUCUUGUGCCAGUUUUCAAAGGGAAUUUUUCCAGUUUUUGCCCAUUCAGUAUGAUAUUGGCUGUGGGUGUGUCAUAAAUAGCUCUUAUUAUUUUGAGGUACGUUCCAUCAAUACCGAAUUUAUUGAGCGUUUUUAGCAUGAAGGGCUGUUGAAUUUUGUCAAAAGCCUUUUCUGCAUCAAUUGAGAGAAUCAUGUGGUUCUUGUCUUUGGUUCUGUUUAUAUGCUGCAUUAUGUUUAUUGAUUUGCGAAUGUUGAACCAGCCUUGCGUCCCAGGGAUGAAGCCCACUUGAUCAUGGUAGUGUUAAUUAUUUUUUAUUCUUUGGUAAGAGUGAUGGUUCCUGCAUCCAUUCCAUCAAGUCCCAAAGUGGUGGCAAAUCCAAAUAUUAUAGGUAUGAAUGUAGCAUAUUGUUGAUGUUUGGUUAGGGUGGGGGAAGAAAAAUUAAAAUUUGUAUAAAUAGGAAGGUCAAGAAAGAUUUGAAUGCAUGGAUGUGAUUUGUGGCUUUGGGGUAGAGGAAGGAUAAAUACUGUAGAACACAUCCACAGUAGAGAGGAUGAACAUUGUUUUUUGUUGGGCUGAACUAUAACCCUAUAACAUUGUCUUUAGAUUGGGAAAUUGCGCCUUGCCUUCUAUAAUUUAGAAUUAUUAAGGAGAACUGGAGAAAGACAGUGCUUUUUGGGGGGCAUGUGAUAACAGUGUGGAGUCUUCCAUUAGGUAGCUCAUAUGGGCUUCGUAUUUAGAAAACAUGAAAGUAGUUGCCAUUUAUCAUGAAGCAGUUUCCCAUCUGCAAGGGAGGUUCAGUUGGGAAGAGGUUUUUAUCUUCCUGUAUUUAUCCAUCACAUAGCUGGAUAAAUGUGUGGUGUGAUAGAUGUGGAAGCACGUUGAUGAAAAAAAAUUAAUAAUUAUGGAGCAUCAAUACAUGAAAGGCUAGAUCAUUUAAAUGUAUGUGUAUGUUGGAUGCUAUGUAAGUAGCCCAGGGACUAAGAUGAUGGAUUUAGACUGUGUUUACAAUAUAGUCUUCUGGAGGGUGAAAGAUAUGAGCACUAUUAUAAUAGGAGAGACUGAAGGGCCUCUAUGGAUGUUGAUUAAUGAGGAAGAAGAAGGGGGAGAUGUUAUAGAUGAAUACAUGGUUUGAGCAUUGAGAGGCCAACAGAAUUAUUUUGUUUUACCUAGGGGAGGAUGCAGUAUGAAUAUUUUGGUAAGUUCUCCCUUUAGACAAAAAAGGCGAGUGAUAUUAGCAGAACAUUAGCCUUGGAGACAUUACAGAGGCAUUGGACUUGGUCUCAUGGAGGCUUAAAAAUGUACA